AACGGCCGUACCAUGCUGAAUAUACCGGUUCUCGUUAGAUCACCGAAGUUAAGCAUCAUUGGGCGCGGUCAGUACUUGGGAGGGUGACCACCUGGGAACACCGCGUGCCGUU
This is a non-coding RNA of Caerostris darwini, 112 nucleotides long. The record is from the annotation of a GenBank genome assembly. NCBI's taxonomy places the organism in Eukaryota, Metazoa, Arthropoda, Arachnida, Araneae, Araneidae.